RNAcentral lists this ribosomal RNA (277 nucleotides) under Verrucomicrobiales bacterium. Its description in RNAcentral is "partial 23S ribosomal RNA". It matches the Rfam family "Bacterial large subunit ribosomal RNA", at positions 2644 to 2925 of the family's 2925-position model. The record is from RNAcentral. Lineage: Bacteria; Pseudomonadati; Verrucomicrobiota; Verrucomicrobiia; Verrucomicrobiales.
GCUGUGGGCGUUGGAGAUUUGAGGGGUUCAUUCCUUAGUACGAGAGGACCGGGAAUGACGCACUUCUGGUGUGGCAGUUGUUCCGUCAGGAGCAGCGCUGCGUAGCCAUGUGCGGACGAGAUAAGCGCUGAAAGCAUCUAAGUGCCAAGCUCUUCCCAAGAUAAGGUUUCCCUGAAGACCCCAGGUAGACUACCUGGUUGAUAGGUCAGGCGUGUAAGUGUGGCAACAUAUUUAGCGGACUGAUACUAAUCGGUCGUUCGGCUUGAUCGCUUUUUUC